UCGAGUCGCCUGUGGUACCGGAAGUCCCGAACGCUUUGUGCAGCGCCGCGACGAGGCGACGGCGCGCGGGGGGGACCCCCUCCCCUUCGUCGUCCCUCCCCCGGCGCCCCCCGCCCGUGCGGUUGCUCGCGAGAGCUCUCGCCCGGGCCAACUCUCAACCCCGGCGCGGAAAGCGCCAAGGAAAACUCGAAACGAUCGCCCGGUUCCCCCCCCCGCCCGGGGGGCGACGCGCGGGAGGGGUCUCCCCGGCGUCCCUCUUACCCGAAACGACUCUCGGAAAAGGAUAUCUCAAGCUCUCUCCUUGAUGAAGAAUUGUAGAGAAAUGCGAUACUUGGUGUGAAUUGAAGAAUCCCUGCGAACCAUCGAGUCUUUGAACACGGGUUGCCCGCCAGGCCAUUAGGCCGAGGGUCACGCCUGCCUGGGUCUGGCGCGCGCCGGAGACUGCCCUGCUCCGCGCGGGGCGGCGGAUAUUGUCCCCCCGUUUCCUCCGGGCGCGGCCGGCCCAAACGCGGGUCCUCGGCGAGGGUGUCG
This 531-nucleotide unclassified non-coding RNA is filed under the name Kanapia monstrosa. RNAcentral describes it as "Canthium monstrosum sequence contains ITS1, 5.8S rRNA gene and ITS2". The stretch from base 269 to 428 matches the Rfam family "5.8S ribosomal RNA". Lineage: Eukaryota; Viridiplantae; Streptophyta; Magnoliopsida; Gentianales; Rubiaceae. The record is from RNAcentral.